CGCGGCCUAUCAGCUUGUUGGUGAGGUAAUGGCUCACCAAGGCUUCGACGGGUAGCCGGCCUGAGAGGGCGACCGGCCACACUGGGACUGAGAUACGGCCCAGACUCCUACGGGAGGCAGCAGUGGGGAAUAUUGCACAAUGGGCGCAAGCCUGAUGCAGCAACGCCGCGUGCGGGAUGACGGCCUUCGGGUUGUAAACCGCUUUCAGUAGGGACGAAGCUAACGUGACGGUACCUACAGAAGAAGGACCGGCUAACUACGUGCCAGCAGCCGCGGUGAUACGUAGGGUCCGAGCGUUGUCCGGAAUUAUUGGGCGUAAAGGGCUUGUAGGCGGUCCGUCGCGUCAGGAGUGAAAACUCGGGGCUUAACCCCGAGCCUGCUUUUGAUACGGGCGGACUAGAGGGAUGCAGGGGAGAACGGAAUUCCUGGUGGAGCGGUGGAAUGCGCAGAUAUCAGGAGGAACACCGGUGGCGAAGGCGGUUCUCUGGGCAUCACCUGACGCUGAGAAGCGAAAGCGUGGGGAGCAAACAGGCUUAGAUACCCUGGUAGUCCACGCCGUAAACGGUGGGCACUAGGCGUGGGGGACAUUCCACGUUCUCCGUGCCGAAGCUAACGCAUUAAGUGCCCCGCCUGGGGAGUACGG
This 643-nucleotide ribosomal RNA is filed under the name uncultured Actinomycetes bacterium. RNAcentral's name for it is "bacterial SSU rRNA". It matches the Rfam family "Bacterial small subunit ribosomal RNA", at positions 232 to 885 of the family's 1533-position model. Lineage: Bacteria; Bacillati; Actinomycetota; Actinomycetes. The record is from RNAcentral.